GUCACUGGCACUUAAGAAGCCAUCUCCAUACUAUCGGUAUUGCGGACAACCCGGAAUGCCGAUGGUGCUGUGAGGAGGAUGAAACCGUUGACCAUGUAGUCGGGGAGUGCCCAGCACUCACGCGCGCCAGGUUCAAAUACUUGGGUAACACUUUCAGUGUACCGAGCGACUUUAAGUCCUUCAGACCAGAGAGCCUUAUAGGUUUCUCUAAGGGCGUUGGGCUCUGGUAAACCCCGGUGGGGCAUGACAGGUCCAUCAGGAGACCUAUAUGCACAACUGCCUUGGCAGCCCACUGUUUCGUCAAUUCAAGCAUUAUUAAAGAAAGCCUUAAGGCUCUUAAAAAAACAUCUAUCUAAAGGUUGGAGAAACUGUGUAGUAUGACUAGGCAGGCAAAGAGGAAUAACACCAUGUUCAUCAGCGUAUUCAAGCAUCUCUGAUGAGCUGCAAUGGCUAGCAUGCCCAUCCAGUAGAACUUUUCCUUGCGGUUUACGUGGUAUAAAUUGAUUUUUUAGCCAAGCAAACAUUAUAUCAGUGUUAAUGUAAGCUGAUUUUUCAUUCAUAUAAACAGUGGAGCCAGGGGGCAUUCCAUCUUAAUUUUUUUCUCAUUUUCGAUACCAAGAACACAAGGUGGACCAAGAGCUCGUUUCUGAAAAUCAUUGUUUUUGAAGCGCCUGCGAAAUGUUGGUGGUGGAAUGUUGUUAAAAUUACGGCAUGCCUCUCUGAUACCCAUAACACCAUUUCUGACAGCUUCUGCAGCAUUGACUAAAUCUUCAGUCCAGUUUCCUCUUUGCACUGAACUUGUAUACUUAAAUGCCAAUUUUAGACAUAGAUUUUUGUAAGGAUUAAACAAAAAAAUUAUUUUUUUUUCCGGGAUAGAUGGCCCAUGGGCCAACUAACCCAUUUAGUAGUUGGGCCAUCUAUCCCAAAAGUCAGGGUGUGAGAUGACCCACUAAAUAUUUCCUAAGAUUUAUUAAAUUUUAGAGGUACGGGUGCAUUAACAAAUCCUCAAAAAUGUACAAACCCAAAAGGAGUAACAAAAACUUGAAAAAAAAACAAAAUUUUUUAAAAAAAAACUAUACAUUACUUUUAAGGUUAAAUAUUUUUAAUGCUUGUAAAAUAUUUUUAUUACCUUAAAGUGUAGAAAAAAACCGCAAACCUGGAUCACGACAUAUACAGCACGUUGAAUAGGAUGUGUCUAAAGCUACAGUGCCGUAAAUCAAAUAUAUUUAGGAAAUAUUAGAAAGAGCCAUCUCACCUGGCGGGCCAUCUCUCCCGGAAUUACCCUAUAGCACUAUUUUUAGAAGUACAGUGAAAUUCCUCUUAGCGGACAGCUCUCAAUACUGGACAUGUCCUAUUAAUGGACAGUAUUUUUUGUCACGAGAUUUUAAAGAACAAUUUCCUAUAAAAUAAAUUCUCAUUAGCGGACGCUCUGUCGGACGGACAAGGACAAAAAUGUUCAACCCCAAAACGCGCAAAAUUCCCCAACAACGGACACGGAUCUUCGAAAGCGGACAAAAAUGACCGUUACGGUACUCCAGGAAAAAAAUCACGCCACUUUAGUAUCCACGUAUGUAUUGUUUUAGUACCGUCUUGUAAUUGAAGCAGGUGACAUGGCGCCCGUUAGAAACUUUUUAACGCUGAGGCAAAAAAUGGAGGUUGUAAAUAUUGCAGAACAGGAAAGUUUAAAUGUCCGUAAACUGGGAGAAAGGUUUAAUAUAAGUAAAAGUCAAGCGGCGGAGAUUGUAAAAAA
Molecule: long non-coding RNA, 1750 nt
Organism: Anthonomus grandis grandis
Lineage: Eukaryota; Metazoa; Arthropoda; Insecta; Coleoptera; Curculionidae
Exons: 2
Source: RefSeq, a predicted model, not a curated record